Molecule: small nucleolar RNA, 73 nt
Organism: Doryrhamphus excisus (bluestripe pipefish)
Lineage: Eukaryota; Metazoa; Chordata; Actinopteri; Syngnathiformes; Syngnathidae
Product: small nucleolar RNA SNORD47
Source: RefSeq, a predicted model, not a curated record
AACCUGUGAUGAAAAGAUUCUGCCAUAUGAACUCUGAUUAUAACCCUUACCGUUCCAUCUUUUUUCUGAGCUU